GACAAGGAAGAGGAGGAUGGGGAGGAAGAAGAGAGGGAAGAUAAGAAGAUGAAGGUGGAGAGGAUCAUUGUUGUGGAGGAGAAUGAUUUGUGAACGACUUAGAGAAGGAGGAGGAUCAGAAAAAGAAGUGGAUGAGGAGAAAAGAGAGGAGAUGAAAGAAUGGGUGAAGAUAGAUGGAGCUACUAUGGAGGAGGAGAAAUGGGUC
RNAcentral lists this long non-coding RNA (205 nucleotides) under Elaeis guineensis (African oil palm). Its description in RNAcentral is "long non-coding RNA (EGUI_LNC025405)". Lineage: Eukaryota; Viridiplantae; Streptophyta; Magnoliopsida; Arecales; Arecaceae. The record is from RNAcentral.